Molecule: ribosomal RNA, 515 nt
Filed under: uncultured bacterium
Lineage: Bacteria
Description: partial 16S ribosomal RNA
Rfam family: Bacterial small subunit ribosomal RNA
Source: RNAcentral
GAUGAACGCUGGCGGCGUGCCUAAUACAUGCAAGUCGAGCGAAUGGAUUAAGAGCUUGCUCUUAUGAAGUUAGCGGCGGACGGGUGAGUAACACGUGGGUAACCUGCCCAUAAGACUGGGAUAACUCCGGGAAACCGGGGCUAAUGCCGGAUAACAUUUUGAACCGCAUGGUUCGAAAUUGAAAGGCGGCUUCGGCUGUCAAUUAUGGAUGGACCCGCGUCGCAUUAGCCAGUUGGUGAGGUAACGGCUCACCAAGGCAACGAUGCGUAGCCGACCUGAGAGGGUGAUCGGCCACACUGGGACUGAGACACGGCCCAGACUCCUACGGGAGGCAGCAGUAGGGAAUCUUCCGCAAUGGACGAAAGUCUGACGGAGCAACGCCGCGUGAGUGAUCAAGGCUUUCGGGUCGUAAAACUCUGUUGUUAGGGAAGAACAAGUGCUAGUUGAAUAAGCUGGCACCUUGACGGUACCUAACCAGAAAGCCACGGCUAACUACGUGCCAGCCGCCGCAGUAA